GAAUAUUUGCUUUUUAGUAUUUGUCUAGCAGGCGUCCGGUAAAAGGAUGCCCAC
Molecule: small nuclear RNA, 54 nt
Gene: U7
Rfam family: U7 small nuclear RNA
About the family: Animal histone pre-mRNAs are spliced by a different mechanism than nuclear pre-mRNAs and self-splicing introns. This processing involves the U7 snRNP, which contains only one RNA species: U7.
Source: Ensembl